This 1066-nucleotide long non-coding RNA is filed under the name Cyanistes caeruleus (blue tit). RNAcentral describes it as "lncRNA (ENSCCEG00000018206.1)". Lineage: Eukaryota; Metazoa; Chordata; Aves; Passeriformes; Paridae. The record is from RNAcentral.
AUGCACAGUAGAAUCUGUCCACUUCGGCAAUUGCUUCAAUUUGAGUACCUGAAGAGUCUCACUGGAGUCUUUGGUACCACCAAUGGUGGAAACACACAUUGCUGCUUUAGAGGGAUAAGUUCAUGGCUGCAGCCCUUGCCUUCUACUCUGCUACAGCUGUUUGGUACUAAUCCACAGCCAUGGUGCUGCACUAAAGAUGGGCAUCCAUCUGUGCUCUCCAGUGAAACGAGGAAUUGGCAAGGUGAAGGCACAGAACAUCAGGAAGGCAUAAGGACACAGCCUUUUACAGCUGAGAAACACAACACCAUGUCAAGGAAGACCAGAGAACUUAGGACUGAUGAUUCGAGUCAUGAAACAUCAGAGGAAUAUCUGAAGAUGCCGCAGGAGGAGGCAGGAGCUUUGGUUCUGCUGGGCAAACAGAGCAGCUGCUGUGGCCCUGUACAAGGACGGGACCUUGCAAAGAAGUUGUGUAAAACAGGUGUGACCCAAAACUGGCUUUGGUUCGGGAUCAGGCACGUGCUUGAGUUCAGGCUGAGCUCUACCUUUGGGAAUGUAGAAAGCAGACACUAAGAGCUUCUGCUGCAUAUCCUUGGGAAUACCACAGAGCAGUAGAGCUCAGGGUAGGUAUAAAGUUCUGUUUUUGUUGAGGGGAGGGGUUUCCUGGAAACUUUACCCACGUUCUUAAAGUGCUGCCACAAGAAAAACAAUUCUUACAGCACACACAAAAAUGUUCUUAUAUUGACUGGCUGAUACAAGAGAUGGAAGGAAGGAGCAGGAAAAAAACCUUGUAAAUUUAAAUACAGGGCAUGAAGAUUUGCCACUCUUCUUCCUGUGCUUCAGUUCGGUGUCCCUCACAUAGACACACACACACAUAAACCUCGAUGCCCCUCUCUCUCUCUCACGCACACACACACACACACACACACACACACACCCCCUCACUCUCACCACACACCCCUCACUCACUCACACACACCUCCUCACUCUCUCUCUCACACACACCCACCCCCUCACACCCUCUCUCACACACACACUCCCUCACACCCCCUCACACCCUCUCUCACAC